RNAcentral lists this ribosomal RNA (262 nucleotides) under uncultured bacterium. Its description in RNAcentral is "partial 16S ribosomal RNA". It matches the Rfam family "Bacterial small subunit ribosomal RNA", at positions 95 to 354 of the family's 1533-position model. The record is from RNAcentral.
CCGGCGCACGGGUGAGUAACGCGUAUGCAACCUGCCGUUUCAGCGGGAUAACCCGGAGAAAUCCGGCCUAAUACCGCAUGUGGCCGAGGGGAGGCAUCUUCUUUCGGCCAAAGGAGGCGACUCCGGAGACGGAUGGGCAUGCGUGACAUUAGCUAGUUGGCGGGGUAACGGCCCACCAAGGCGACGAUGUCUAGGGGUUCUGAGAGGAAGGUCCCCCACACUGGUACUGAGACACGGACCAGACUCCUACGGGAGGCAGCAG